GACGAACGCUGGCGGCGUGCUUAACACAUGCAAGUCGAACGGAAAGGCCCUGCUUUUGUGGGGUGCUCGAGUGGCGAACGGGUGAGUAACACGUGAGUAACCUGCCCUUGACUUUGGGAUAACUUCAGGAAACUGGGGCUAAUACCGGAUAGGAGCUCCUGCUGCAUGGUGGGGGUUGGAAAGUUUCGGCGGUUGGGGAUGGACUCGCGGCUUAUCAGCUUGUUGGUGGGGUAGUGGCUUACCAAGGCUUUGACGGGUAGCCGGCCUGAGAGGGUGACCGGCCACAUUGGGACUGAGAUACGGCCCAGACUCCUACGGGAGGCAGCAGUGGGGAAUAUUGCACAAUGGGCGGAAGCCUGAUGCAGCAACGCCGCGUGCGGGAUGACGGCCUUCGGGUUGUAAACCGCUUUCGCCUGUGACGAAGCGUGAGUGACGGUAAUGGGUAAAGAAGCACCGGCUAACUACGUGCCAGCAGCCGCGGUGAUACGUAGGGUGCGAGCGUUGUCCGGAUUUAUUGGGCGUAAAGGGCUCGUAGGUGGUUGAUCGCGUCGGAAGUGUAAUCUUGGGGCUUAACCCUGAGCGUGCUUUCGAUACGGGUUGACUUGAGGAAGGUAGGGGAGAAUGGAAUUCCUGGUGGAGCGGUGGAAUGCGCAGAUAUCAGGAGGAACACCAGUGGCGAAGGCGGUUCUCUGGGCCUUUCCUGACGCUGAGGAGCGAAAGCGUGGGGAGCGAACAGGCUUAGAUACCCUGGUAGUCCACGCUGUAAACGGUGGGUACUAGGUGUGGGGUCCAUUCCACGGGUUCCGUGCCGUAGCUAACGCUUUAAGUACCCCGCCUGGGGAGUACGGCCGCAAGGCUAAAACUCAAAGGAAUUGACGGGGCCCCGCACAAGCGGCGGAGCAUGCGGAUUAAUUCGAUGCAACGCGUAGAACCUUACCUGGGUUUGACAUGGAUCGGGAGUGCUCAGAGAAGGGUGUGCCUCUUUUGGGGUCGGUACACAGGUGGUGCAUGGCUGUCGUCAGCUCGUGUCGUGAGAUGUUGGGUUAAGUCCCGCAACGAGCGCAACCCUUGUUCACUGUUGCCAGCACGUUAUGGUGGGGACUCAGUGGAGACCGCCGUGGUCAACUCGGAGGAAGGUGGGGAUGACGUCAAGUCAUCAUGCCCCUUAUGUCCAGGGCUUCACGCAUGCUACAAUGGCUGGUACAGAGAGUGGCGAGCCUGUGAGGGUGAGCGAAUCUCGGAAAGCCGGUCUCAGUUCGGAUUGGGGUCUGCAACUCGACCUCAUGAAGUCGGAGUCGCUAGUAAUCGCAGAUCAGCAACGCUGCGGUGAAUACGUUCCCGGG
This 1343-nucleotide ribosomal RNA is filed under the name uncultured bacterium. RNAcentral's name for it is "16S ribosomal RNA". It matches the Rfam family "Bacterial small subunit ribosomal RNA", at positions 28 to 1378 of the family's 1533-position model. The record is from RNAcentral.